RNAcentral lists this ribosomal RNA (721 nucleotides) under uncultured bacterium. RNAcentral's name for it is "bacterial SSU rRNA". It matches the Rfam family "Bacterial small subunit ribosomal RNA", at positions 96 to 795 of the family's 1533-position model. The record is from RNAcentral.
CGGCGCACGGGUGCGUAACACGUGGAUAAUCUGCCCUUGAAUUCGGGAUAACCUUCCGAAAGGUUGGCUAAUACCGGGUAAGCUCACGGUGACUUCGGUCGCUGUGGGAAAAGUAGACCUCUGUUUACAAGUUUACGUUUGAGGAUGAGUCCGCGGCCCAUCAGCUAGUUGGCGGGGUAAUGGCCCACCAAGGCUACGACGGGUAGCUGGUCUGAGAGGACGAUCAGCCACACUGGAACUGAGACACGGUCCAGACUCCUACGGGAGGCAGCAGUGGGGAAUUUUCCACAAUGGGCGAAAGCCUGAUGGAGCAACGCCGCGUGUGUGAUGAAGGUCUUCGGAUCGUAAAGCACUUUCGACCGGGACGAAAAACCUCUGGCUAACAUCCAGGGGCCUGACGGUACCGGGAGAAGAAGCACCGGCUAACUCUGUGCCAGCAGCCGCGGUAAUACAGAGGGUGCAAGCGUUGUUCGAAAUUAUUGGGCGUAAAGCGCGUGUAGGCGGCUUGGCAAGUCAGAUGUGAAAGCCCAUGGCUUAACCAUGGAAGUGCGUCUGAAACUGCUGAGCUUGAGUGCCGGAGAGGAUGGCGGAAUUCCGCAAGUAGAGGUGAAAUUCGUAGAUAUGCGGAGGAACACCGGUGGCGAAGGCGGCCAUCUGGACGGCAACUGACGCUGAGACGCGAAAGCGUGGGGAGCAAACAGGAUUAGAUACCCUGGUAGUC